This 264-nucleotide ribosomal RNA is filed under the name uncultured Planctomycetota bacterium. Its description in RNAcentral is "uncultured planctomycete partial 16S ribosomal RNA". It matches the Rfam family "Bacterial small subunit ribosomal RNA", at positions 927 to 1181 of the family's 1533-position model. The record is from RNAcentral. Lineage: Bacteria; Pseudomonadati; Planctomycetota.
AAGCGGUGGAGCAUGUGGCUUAAUUCGAGGCUACGCGAAGAACCUUAUCCUAGACUUGACAUGUGCGAAAGCGCUAGGUAGUAGAACCCGGAAACGGGAACGAACCCCGCAAGGGGGAGCCUAGUACAGAUGCUGCAUGGCUGUCGUCAGCUCGUGUCGUGAGAUGUCGGGUUAAGUCCCAUAACGAGCGAAACCCUUACCCUCAGUUGCUAUUAUAGGACUCUGGGGGGACUGCCGGUGUCAAACCGGAGGAAGGUGGGGAUG